UCUGCGUUGCACUUUAAUGAAGGCAGAGGGGAACAUUGGCUGGAGGUGUUUGUAUGUAAUCAUGUCACAUUUCCAAAGAGGCAUGAGCAGAAGAGGCAGCAGAUCGCCUCUGACUUCUCCAGCAGAUGUUUGGAAAUGGUGCUAAUGUAGUGGAUUAUGUCUGUGGGUGAGCAAGCAGUGAGAAGCUCUGAUACUAAUGAGAACUGAGUUAACUUUGGUGAAAUGUGCUUUUGAUUUCCUGCACAAAGAAAUGCACGAGCGUCUCUCCUCUUUGCCCAGUUUCAAGGUCUGUGCUUUUUAUUGUUUUAUACUGAGCUUUUAGUAAUCAGCGCUCCAUAAAAGGCACUUUUUGCCCCGUUCUUGUUCCUUCUACCUCCGAACUGAUCUUGACGCGCCAUAAGAGGAAAGAUUGUGACCUGAAUGUCUUCCAUGUUUGAUAAUCCAGACAAAGAAUUCAUGUCACGCUACAGACAGUGGAGGAAGAGGAUUAUGUCUCACAGCAACAUUCGAGCAGUUUUAAUAGGAAAAAAAAAA
This is a long non-coding RNA of Pundamilia nyererei, 534 nucleotides long. RefSeq lists it as uncharacterized. The transcript is spliced from 3 exons. The record is from RefSeq and is a predicted model, not a curated record. NCBI's taxonomy places the organism in Eukaryota, Metazoa, Chordata, Actinopteri, Cichliformes, Cichlidae.